UUGGUCUUCUUCCUCCUCCGCUUCG
Molecule: small RNA, 25 nt
Filed under: Arabidopsis thaliana (thale cress)
Lineage: Eukaryota; Viridiplantae; Streptophyta; Magnoliopsida; Brassicales; Brassicaceae
Description: ATSL236720
Source: RNAcentral